GCCAGCUCUGCCUUUUCCUUUCCCACUGGGAUCAAACCUCUCCUUGUGAGAACCUGUGAAUUUUGAUGUAUCUGUAAGGCGUGACACAGUUGGAGAUGAAAUCGCUUUCGUUACUCCAGAUAUAAUUGGUGCUUUUCCUUCAAUUAGUUUAUAUAUUUCUUGAAUUGCUUCCUCAUCACUUUUUUCUUUAAAUCGCUUCUUGGAAAGUUCCUGAAGAGCUUCUUUAAACUGCUCAAAAGUAAUAGUUCUAGAAGACUUUCCCUUGAUUUUACUGAAGACAAUGUCAACAUCUGUGAUUGUCACAUUCUUCCCAUCUAUCACCUGACAGUCCUUACACAGCUUAGACCAGUU
This 351-nucleotide long non-coding RNA is filed under the name Gallus gallus (chicken). Lineage: Eukaryota; Metazoa; Chordata; Aves; Galliformes; Phasianidae. The record is from RNAcentral.